UACGUAGGGGGCUAGCGUUGUCCGGAAUCAUUGGGCGUAAAGCGCGCGUAGGCGGCCAGAUAAGUCCGGUGUGAAAGUCACAGGCUCAACCUGUGAAUGCCGCUGGAAACUGUCUGGCUAGAGUCCGGAAGGGCGAGUGGAAUUCCUGGUGUAGCGGUGAAAUGCGCAGAUAUCAGGAGGAACACCAAUGGCGAAGGCAGCUCGCUGGAACGGUACUGACGCUGAGGCGCGAAAGCGUGGGGAGCGAACAGG
RNAcentral lists this ribosomal RNA (252 nucleotides) under uncultured bacterium. Its description in RNAcentral is "partial 16S ribosomal RNA". It matches the Rfam family "Bacterial small subunit ribosomal RNA", at positions 524 to 776 of the family's 1533-position model. The record is from RNAcentral.